This 460-nucleotide ribosomal RNA is filed under the name uncultured bacterium. RNAcentral describes it as "partial 16S ribosomal RNA". It matches the Rfam family "Bacterial small subunit ribosomal RNA", at positions 338 to 795 of the family's 1533-position model. The record is from RNAcentral.
CCUACGGGAGGCAGCAGUGAGGAAUAUUGGUCAAUGGACGAGAGUCUGAACCAGCCAAGUAGCGUGAAGGAUGACUGCCCUAUGGGUUGUAAACUUCUUUUAUAAAGGAAUAAAACGAGGCACGUGUGCCUUUUUGCAUGUACUUUAUGAAUAAGGAUCGGCUAACUCCGUGCCAGCCGCCGCGGUAAUACUGAGGAUCCGAGCGUUAUCCGGAUUUAUUGGGUUUAAAGGGAGCGUAGAUGGGUUGUUAAGUCAGUUGUGAAAGUUUGCGGCUCAACCGUAAAAUUGCAAUUGAUACUGGCAGUCUUGAGUACAGUUGAGGUAGGCGGAAUGCGUGGUGUAGCGGUGAAAUGCUUAGAUAUCACGAAGAACCCCGAUUGCGAAGGCAGCUUACUAAACUGUGACUGACAUUGAUGCUCGAAAGUGUGGGUAUCAAACAGGAUUAGAUACCCCGGUAGUC